Thalassophryne amazonica is the source of this 113-nucleotide long non-coding RNA. RefSeq lists it as uncharacterized. The record is from RefSeq and is a predicted model, not a curated record. NCBI's taxonomy places the organism in Eukaryota, Metazoa, Chordata, Actinopteri, Batrachoidiformes, Batrachoididae. The transcript is spliced from 3 exons.
CACAAUUUAUGUGUGUUUUCCAGCUUAAUUUCUCAUCAAUGAAAACUCCCAAGAAAUUUGACUUCGGUUACAAUUUCAAUUUCAACAUCAUUCAAUAAUAAAUUUGUACUUAA